UCAAAAGUAAUGAUGGGAAGAGUAAGUAUGGAGAAUUCAUUACAGAGAGCCAGGGUAGGUGAAAGCUGGCAUGAAGGAACAUACUGAAGAUGGCCCCUGAACUGCAUAGCUGAGGUGUAUGCUAAGGUUAUGCCGGUGUUGCAACCGUUAUCCUUGCAAGGUGAUGAAUGUCACUUGCCGAGAUUAUUGCCGCGAGGCAAUAGUGAAUUAGGGUGGUAGCACGAGACAAUCCUCGUCCCUAUA
This 243-nucleotide non-coding RNA is filed under the name Thermotalea metallivorans. RNAcentral's name for it is "T-box sequence". It matches the Rfam family "T-box leader". Rfam says of the family: Uncharged tRNA acts as the effector for transcription antitermination of genes in the T-box leader family. T-boxes are found upstream of many aminoacyl-tRNA synthetase genes and some amino acid biosynthetic genes usually in Gram-positive bacteria. Lineage: Bacteria; Bacillati; Bacillota; Clostridia; Peptostreptococcales; Thermotaleaceae. The record is from RNAcentral.